GUAACAAGGUCUCCGUUGGUGAACCAGCGGAGGGAUCAUUACAGAGUUGCAAAACUCCCUAAACCAUUGUGAACGUUACCUAAACCGUUGCUUCGGCGGGCGGCCCGGGUCCUUCCCGGCGCCCCUCGGCCCUCGCGGGCGCCCGCCGGAGGUAAACCAAACUAUUGCAUUGUAUGGCCUCUCUGAGUCUUCUGUACUGAAUAAGUCAAAACUUUCAACAACGGAUCUCUUGGUUCUGGCAUCGAUGAAGAACGCAGCGAAAUGCGAUAAGUAAUGUGAAUUGCAGAAUUCAGUGAAUCAUCGAAUCUUUGAACGCACAUUGCGCCCGCCAGUAUUCUGGCGGGCAUGCCUGUUCGAGCGUCAUUUCAACCAUCAAGCCCCGGGCUUGUGUUGGGGACCUGCGGCUGCCGCAGGCCCUGAAAUGCAGUGGCGGGCUCGCUGUCACUCCGAGCGUAGUAGUUACAUCUCGCUCUGGGCGUGCUGCGGGUUCCGGCCGUUAAAAGCCUUAUUUACCCAAGGUUGACCUCGGAUCAGGUAGGAAGACCCGCUGAACUUAAGCAUAUC
Molecule: unclassified non-coding RNA, 564 nt
Filed under: Condenascus tortuosus
Lineage: Eukaryota; Fungi; Ascomycota; Sordariomycetes; Sordariales; Chaetomiaceae
Description: sequence contains 18S rRNA gene, ITS1, 5.8S rRNA gene, ITS2, 28S rRNA gene
Rfam family: 5.8S ribosomal RNA (bases 210-363)
Source: RNAcentral